GGUUCUUCCUCCAACCAGGUGUGCACGGACCUGCACAAGCACCCACUGCAGGACACGGGCGUGACAGGAAGGGUUGGGCAGGUCCUUCAAAACAUUAAACAGCUGUUUAAGGCCGAGCUCUGCUGAUGAUGGGUGAGCACCAGUUGGAGAGGAUGGGGGGUGAAGGGGGAGCAUCUUCAGGACAUCCUACUGGACCAUCUUUGCCUCAGGGUCCAGGAGGAACUGGAGAACCUCAACAACAUCUUCUCUGUUUGAAGGAAGUUGAAGGUCGUUUCUGGAUACAUUGCUAACUAGCGUUAGCGCAAUGACUGGUCCUCUACUGGAGCAGCUAGCAUGAUUUCAUCUGACUCUGAGUAAGUCGAAAAAAGGGUUUGAUUGCCAGAAUGACGAACUAUCCCUUUAAACUGUAUCAGGAAUUCAGUUGUAGCCUAUAUCAACGACGUCUUCUUUGAUGAAGAAGUAACUACUGUAUGUCUAAAACUGUAUCAUGAAGGGACAGACAUCUACUGUGUCCUCUUAGAUGGCAUAAAAAAAUUCAUUUGUAGCCUAUAUCAGUUGGCUCAUAUAAACUCACAGUGCAAAUACUGUGAGAGAGUCAUACAAGGUUCCUUCAUCAGCCAACAUGAUUGACAGACAUGUAUUUCAUCAAGAGGGUUAGCUUAGAGAUACAUAUCUCCUGCCAAGAAUAGAUUGACAUCGAAAGAGAAGAGAAAGCCUCUGAUGGAUUAUUCAACAGAACUGAAAAGAAAAGACAGAACAAGUUACGUUAUUUGGCGUGGAUACAUAAAACAAGUUCAAGUUCAAUACUAUAGAUAAAAUACGUUCCCCAGGGUUUUUGUUCACAGUGGGGUAUGCUUGCAUUUAAAAUGUUUUUUAACCAAAGGUUUCUUUAUCGCUUUCUCUUUUGAGUGUUUCUCUUCAUGACUAGGAGAAGAUGUCUCUGAUAUUCUUAUGUUCCCCAUCUACUAUGUGGAGGUCUAGAGAAGACAAAAGCAUUUGCUUUAAGGAAUCAUUGACCUGAAGAAAAAAGGCCAGAUUGGUUUUGGCACAGUGUUAUUUUCACGGACACUUCUGUGAAUCAAGUCCUUGCCUCUCGCUCUGUGCUGCUCUUGCAAUCUUAUUUUUCACAAUACUCAAUACACUAUGUGGCAGUUAUUACAGAGGGAGAAUAUAAUUCCUCAUUGAACAGGGGAUACAGUGCAUCCCUCAUCUGGACUAAAUGUUGCCUUCCCUUACUCAGCGCUGAUUUGGCUAUCUAAUGGCCUGUUAUAUUACUCCCAGGAGACCCAGUGUGAAUUAGAAGGGAGAGUAAGUAAAUUAGUCUUGAGUUAAAUGUAGGGACACAUGGCCAUAAUUUAAAUAACAUCCCAAAUGCUGCUCCAAGCUAUUAGGUCUUUCACAGGGAAGGUAAUGGGGGAUCAUUUAAUGGG
Salmo trutta (river trout) is the source of this 1430-nucleotide long non-coding RNA. NCBI's taxonomy places the organism in Eukaryota, Metazoa, Chordata, Actinopteri, Salmoniformes, Salmonidae. The record is from Ensembl.